GAGAGAGAGAAUUGUUAAUUUUUUGGUUUGUGAAGAGAGAAACAAUUAUUUAAUCAUCUUUUGUUUAUUUAUUUAUUUUUUUCAGUCAAAAACCCUUUUUCACUUCAGUCUGUUUUCUAAAAAAAAAAAAAAGGUUGAACCCCAAUCUUAAGCGUCCCCACCGACCCUGUCUUGGGUCAUCGUGGAGGAGGUAAAUCGCAGGAUGUGCCUCCCAGGAGCUAGGGUGGAGAGCACAUGGAUAGGCCAAGGUUGUUAACCCAUAUGGUAACUCCUACUUGCAACAAAGCCAAUUUCACCUUGCGGGGAAUCGAACUCAGCACACUGCCGCGCUGAACCCUGUCCGCCCACCUUUGCCACUGGGAGAUAUGGCCUGCGGCCGUCAGUCUGUUUUCUAACCUAUUCGUGAGCCUGUCUGAGUAGCAAAAUUGUCCAAUUCACGCUCUCUGUCUAGAAUUAGAAUCAGUCGGAUCGGAAAUCGGAAAAAAUGUCAGAAGGAUGCGUAUUUCUUUGCGAAAUCAUACUCGCUAUUCUCCUCCCUCCACUCGGAGUUUGCCUCCGACACGGCUGCUGCUCUGUAAGCUCCUUUCGUAGAUAUAUUCUCCUUUAAUGAUUGUGUUGCUAAGUGUGUGUAUUUUGUUUUUAUAGGUGGAGUUUUUCAUAUAAUUAUUUAAUCAUCUUUUGUUUAUUUAUUUAUUUUUUUCAGUCAAAAACCCUUUUUCACUUCAGUCUGUUUUCUAAAAAAAAAAAAAAGGUUGAACCCCAAUCUUAAGCGUCCCCACCGACCCUGUCUUGGGUCAUCGUGGAGGAGGUAAAUCGCAGGAUGUGCCUCCCAGGAGCUAGGGUGGAGAGCACAUGGAUAGGCCAAGGUUGUUAACCCAUAUGGUAACUCCUACUUGCAACAAAGCCAAUUUCACCUUGCGGGGAAUCGAACUCAGCACACUGCCGCGCUGAACCCUGUCCGCCCACCUUUGCCACUGGGAGAUAUGGCCUGCGGCCGUCAGUCUGUUUUCUAACCUAUUCGUGAGCCUGUCUGAGUAGCAAAAUUGUCCAAUUCACGCUCUCUGUCUAGAAUUAGAAUCAGUCGGAUCGGAAAUCGGAAAAAAUGUCAGAAGGAUGCGUAUUUCUUUGCGAAAUCAUACUCGCUAUUCUCCUCCCUCCACUCGGAGUUUGCCUCCGACACGGCUGCUGCUCUGUAAGCUCCUUUCGUAGAUAUAUUCUCCUUUAAUGAUUGUGUUGCUAAGUGUGUGUAUUUUGUUUUUAUAGGUGGAGUUUUUCAUAUGUUUGGUGUUGACUAUUCUAGGCUACGUUCCUGGGAUAAUUUAUGCUCUCUAUGCUAUCGUUUUUGUCGAUCGCGAUCGGUUCGCUGACGAUGACUAUCAACUUGCUUAGUACUUGAUUCACUACUGGUCUCGAUUUCCUCAUUUAUUUGUGGCGGUGUGUAGUUUUUACUGUGUGAUUAAUCUCAAAACUGUGGUUUAUCUGUUCUUGUUGACUCUGCAAUUUUUACUGUUUUAAUAAAAGUGGUUUAUACUUCCUUUUAUCUUUAUCUGUUCUUAUCGACUCUGCAAUUAUAACUUUUUUUAGAUUUGAAUUUUAUUAUAAUUGCCAGUU
RNAcentral lists this long non-coding RNA (1611 nucleotides) under Olea europaea (common olive). RNAcentral describes it as "long non-coding RNA (OEUR_LNC004312)". Lineage: Eukaryota; Viridiplantae; Streptophyta; Magnoliopsida; Lamiales; Oleaceae. The record is from RNAcentral.